AUACCCGAAUGGGGAAACCCAGUGUGAUUCGUCACACUAUCAUUAACUGAAUCCAUAGGUUAAUGAGGCGAACCGGGGGAACUGAAACAUCUAAGUACCCCGAGGAAAAGAAAUCAACCGAGAUUCCCCCAGUAGCGGCGAGCGAACGGGGAGGAGCCCAGAGCCUGAAUCAGCAUGUGUGUUAGUGGAAGCGUCUGGAAAGGCGCGCGAUACAGGGUGACAGCCCCGUACACAAAAGCGCAUGUGCUGUGAGCUCGAUGAGUAGGGCGGGACACGUGGUAUCCUGUCUGAAUAUGGGGGGACCAUCCUCCAAGGCUAAAUACUCCUGACUGACCGAUAGUGAACCAGUACCGUGAGGGAAAGGCGAAAAGAACCCCGGCGAGGGGAGUGAAAAAGAACCUGAAACCGUGUACGUACAAGCAGUGGGAGCACAGGUUUACCUGUGUGACUGCGUACCUUUUGUAUAAUGGGUCAGCGACUUAUAUUCUGUAGCAAGGUUAACCGAAUAGGGGAGCCGGAGGGAAACCGAGUCUUAAUUGGGCGUUAAGUUGCAGGGUAUAGACCCGAAACCCGGUGAUCUAGCCAUGGGCAGGUUGAAGGUUGGGUAACACUAACUGGAGGACCGAACCGACUAAUGUUGAAAAAUUAGCGGAUGACCUGUGGCUGGGGGUGAAAGGCCAAUCAAACCGGGAGAUAGCUGGUUCUCCCCGAAAGCUAUUUAGGUAGCGCCUCGUGAAUUCAUCUCCGGGGGUAGAGCACUGUUUCGGCUAGGGGGCCAUCCCGGCUUACCAACCCGAUGCAAACUGCGAAUACCGGAGAAUGUUAUCACGGGAGACACACGGCGGGUGCUAACGUCCGUCGUGAAGAGGGAAACAACCCAGACCGCCAGCUAAGGUCCCAAAGUCAUGGUUAAGUGGGAAACGAUGUGGGAAGGCCCAGACAGCCAGGAUGUUGGCUUAGAAGCAGCCAUCAUUUAAAGAAAGCGUAAUAGCUCACUGGUCGAGUCGGCCUGCGCGGAAGAUGUAACGGGGCUAAACCAUGCACCGAAGCUGCGGCAGCGACACUGUGUGUUGUUGGGUAGGGGAGCGUUCUGUAAGCCUGCGAAGGUGGCCUGUGAGGGUUGCUGGAGGUAUCAGAAGUGCGAAUGCUGACAUAAGUAACGAUAAAGCGGGUGAAAAGCCCGCUCGCCGGAAGACCAAGGGUUCCUGUCCAACGUUAAUCGGGGCAGGGUGAGUCGACCCCUAAGGCGAGGCCGAAAGGCGUAGUCGAUGGGAAACGGGUUAAUAUUCCCGUACUUGGUGUUACUGCGAAGGGGGGACGGAGAAGGCUAUGUUGGCCGGGCGACGGUUGUCCCGGUUUAAGCGUGUAGGUGUGUGUUCCAGGUAAAUCCGGUUCACUUUAACACUGAGGCGUGACGACGAGGCACUACGGUGCUGAAGCAACAAAUGCCCUGCUUCCAGGAAAAGCCUCUAAGCAUCAGGUAACAUCAAAUCGUACCCCAAACCGACACAGGUGGUCAGGUAGAGAAUACCAAGGCGCUUGAGAGAACUCGGGUGAAGGAACUAGGCAAAAUGGUGCCGUAACUUCGGGAGAAGGCACGCUGACACGUAGGUGAAGUGAUUUACUCAUGGAGCUGAAGUCAGUCGAAGAUACCAGCUGGCUGCAACUGUUUAUUAAAAACACAGCACUGUGCAAACACGAAAGUGGACGUAUACGGUGUGACGCCUGCCCGGUGCCGGAAGGUUAAUUGAUGGGGUCAGCGCAAGCGAAGCUCCUGAUCGAAGCCCCGGUAAACGGCGGCCGUAACUAUAACGGUCCUAAGGUAGCGAAAUUCCUUGUCGGGUAAGUUCCGACCUGCACGAAUGGCGUAAUGAUGGCCAGGCUGUCUCCACCCGAGACUCAGUGAAAUUGAACUCGCUGUGAAGAUGCAGUGUACCCGCGGCAAGACGGAAAGACCCCGUGAACCUUUACUAUAGCUUGACACUGAACAUUGAGCCUUGAUGUGUAGGAUAGGUGGGAGGCUUUGAAGUGUGGACGCCAGUCUGCAUGGAGCCGACCUUGAAAUACCACCCUUUAAUGUUUGAUGUUCUAACGUGGACCCGUUACCCGGGUUGCGGACAGUGUCUGGUGGGUAGUUUGACUGGGGCGGUCUCCUCCUAAAGAGUAACGGAGGAGCACGAAGGUUGGCUAAUCCUGGUCGGACAUCAGGAGGUUAGUGCAAUGGCAUAAGCCAGCUUGACUGCGAGCGUGACGGCGCGAGCAGGUGCGAAAGCAGGUCAUAGUGAUCCGGUGGUUCUGAAUGGAAGGGCCAUCGCUCAACGGAUAAAAGGUACUCCGGGGAUAACAGGCUGAUACCGCCCAAGAGUUCAUAUCGACGGCGGUGUUUGGCACCUCGAUGUCGGCUCAUCACAUCCUGGGGCUGAAGUAGGUCCCAAGGGUAUGGCUGUUCGCCAUUUAAAGUGGUACGCGAGCUGGGUUUAGAACGUCGUGAGACAGUUCGGUCCCUAUCUGCCGUGGGCGCUGGAGAACUGAGGGGGGCUGCUCCUAGUACGAGAGGACCGGAGUGGACGCAUCACUGGUGUUCGGGUUGUCAUGCCAAUGGCACUGCCCGGUAGCUAAAUGCGGAAGAGAUAAGUGCUGAAAGCAUCUAAGCACGAAACUUGCCCCGAG
This 2670-nucleotide ribosomal RNA is filed under the name Salmonella enterica subsp. enterica serovar Enteritidis. RNAcentral describes it as "partial 23S ribosomal RNA". It matches the Rfam family "Bacterial large subunit ribosomal RNA". The record is from RNAcentral. Lineage: Bacteria; Pseudomonadati; Pseudomonadota; Gammaproteobacteria; Enterobacterales; Enterobacteriaceae.